GGGCCUAUAGCUCAGUCGGUUAGAGCAGCGGACUCAUAAUCCGUUGGUCGACAGUUCAAGUCUGUCUGGGCCCACCA
Molecule: transfer RNA, 77 nt
Filed under: Flavobacterium sp.
Lineage: Bacteria; Pseudomonadati; Bacteroidota; Flavobacteriia; Flavobacteriales; Flavobacteriaceae
Also listed under: 31 other names
Description: tRNA-Ile
Rfam family: tRNA
About the family: Transfer RNA (tRNA) molecules are approximately 80 nucleotides in length.
Source: RNAcentral